Labrus bergylta (ballan wrasse) is the source of this 710-nucleotide non-coding RNA. The record is from RefSeq and is a predicted model, not a curated record. Lineage: Eukaryota; Metazoa; Chordata; Actinopteri; Labriformes; Labridae.
GACUUACUACUGUGCUGUGGACACAUGUGGACGCCUUUUAUUUGGAGAUGGGACUAAAGUGGACGUUGCACAAUCAACACAUUUUGGAUUUAUCAUCAUGGUGAUUUUAAUCGUCUGCUUGGUUAUUUCUACUGUUGGAAAUGUUUUCCUCCUCUGCAAACAAAAAGCACGUAAACAACAUGGAGGAUUGGAGAGCGCUGUUUCAGAAGCCAGAAAAGAUAAUGCAUCACGGCAAGAACACAACACCGCCGAUGCUGAGAACAAAUUAAACUAUGCUGCUCUAAACUUUUCUGCAAGAAAACCAAGAGGAAGAAAGAAGAGAGAGUUUUCUGAGGACAGCGUGUACGCUCAGGUGAAACUCUGAUGCUGUUAAUAAAGUCGAGCUUAAACUCUAAAUCUGCAUCAUGUAGAUUUUAUUAUUUACUAAACCCACUGGCCAUCUAUCAAAACCCACUGGCCUUCCAUCGGAACCCACGGGCCCACAAUCAAAACCUACUGGUCCACCAACAAAACCAGCUGGCCCACCAUCAAAACAAACAGGCCUACCCACCAACAAAAUCCACUGGUCCACCAACAAAACCUACUGGUCCACCUACAAAACAAACUGGCGCACAAAGAAAACCAACGGGCCAACCCUCAAAGCCUACUGGCCCACCCAUAAAAAACCCACUGGCCCACCAACAAAACCCACUGGCCCACCAACAAAACUC